Molecule: ribosomal RNA, 345 nt
Filed under: uncultured bacterium
Lineage: Bacteria
Description: bacterial SSU rRNA
Rfam family: Bacterial small subunit ribosomal RNA
Source: RNAcentral
AGGGUUUGAUUCUGGCUCAGGAUGAACGCUGGCGGCGUGCUUAACACAUGCAAGUCGAACGAAGCACUUUAUUACGAUUUCUUCGGAAUGACGAUUUAGUGACUGAGUGGCGGACGGGUGAGUAACGCGUGGGUAACCUGCCUCAUACAGGGGGAUAACAGUUGGAAACGACUGCUAAUACCGCAUAAGCGCACGGUAUCGCAUGAUACAGUGUGAAAAACUCCGGUGGUAUGAGAUGGACCCGCGUCUGAUUAGCUAGUUGGCGAGGUAACGGCCCACCAAGGCAACGAUCAGUAGCCGACCUGAGAGGGUGACCGGCCACAUUGGGACUGAGACACGGCCCAA